GAUGAACGCUGGCGGCGUGCCUAAUACAUGCAAGUCGAGCGAACGGACGAGAAGCUUGCUUCUCUGAUGUUAGCGGCGGACGGGUGAGUAACACGUGGAUAACCUACCUAUAAGACUGGGAUAACUUCGGGAAACCGGAGCUAAUACCGGAUAAUAUUUUGAACCGCAUGGUUCAAAAGUGAAAGACGGUCUUGCUGUCACUUAUAGAUGGAUCCGCGCUGCAUUAGCUAGUUGGUAAGGUAACGGCUUACCAAGGCAACGAUGCAUAGCCGACCUGAGAGGGUGAUCGGCCACACUGGAACUGAGACACGGUCCAGACUCCUACGGGAGGCAGCAGUAGGGAAUAUUCGGCAAUGGGCGAAAGCCUGACGGAGCAACGCCGCGUGAGUGAUGAAGGUCUUCGGAUCGUAAAACUCUGUUAUUAGGGAAGAACAGAUGUGUAAGUAACUGUGCACAUCUUGACGGUACCUAAUCAGAAAGCCACGGCUAACUACGUG
This 497-nucleotide ribosomal RNA is filed under the name uncultured bacterium. RNAcentral's name for it is "partial 16S ribosomal RNA". It matches the Rfam family "Bacterial small subunit ribosomal RNA", at positions 28 to 507 of the family's 1533-position model. The record is from RNAcentral.